RNAcentral lists this ribosomal RNA (253 nucleotides) under uncultured bacterium. RNAcentral describes it as "partial 16S ribosomal RNA". It matches the Rfam family "Bacterial small subunit ribosomal RNA", at positions 524 to 776 of the family's 1533-position model. The record is from RNAcentral.
UACGGAGGUUGCAAGGGUUAUCCGGAUUUACUGGGUUUAAAGGGUGCGUAGGCGGGCUUUUAAGUCAGCGGUGAAAUCUCCGGGCUCAACCCGGAAAUUGCCGUUGAUACUAUUAGUCUUGAAUAAUGUUGAGGUGGGCGGAAUGUGUCAUGUAGCGGUGAAAUGCUUAGAUAUGACACAGAACACCGAUUGCGAAGGCAGCUCGCUAAACAUUUAUUGACGCUGAGGCACGAAAGCGUGGGGAUCAAACAGG